AGAUUGAACGCUGGCGGCAUGCUUUACACAUGCAAGUCGAACGGUAACAGGCCGCAAGGUGCUGACGAGUGGCGAACGGGUGAGUAAUGCAUCGGAACGUGCCCAGUCGUGGGGGGAUAACGCAGCGAAAGCUGUGCUAAUACCGCAUACGAUCUAUGGAUGAAAGCGGGGGACCGAAAGGCCUCGCGCGAUUGGAGCGGCCGAUGUCAGAUUAGCUAGUUGGUGGGGUAAAGGCCCACCAAGGCGACGAUCUGUAGCUGGUCUGAGAGGACGACCAGCCACACUGGAACUGAGACACGGUCCAGACUCCUACGGGAGGCAGCAGUGGGGAAUUUUGGACAAUGGGCGCAAGCCUGAUCCAGCAAUGCCGCGUGCAGGAAGAAGGCCUUCGGUUGUAAACUGCUUUGUACGGAACGAAACGGUCUAGGGUUAAUACCGUCGGGUCUAAGUGACGGUACCGUAAGAAUAAGACACCGGACUAACUACGUGCCAGCAGCCGUA
Molecule: ribosomal RNA, 501 nt
Filed under: uncultured soil bacterium
Lineage: Bacteria
Description: bacterial SSU rRNA
Rfam family: Bacterial small subunit ribosomal RNA
Source: RNAcentral